AUAUUGGCUAGACUGGAGGGUUAGGGGUCCUCUGUAAGCACACACCCCCUUAGGUGUGGUCGAAAUUCAAGGGGCGACCUGUUGAUUGGAUUUAAGCCUGUAAAAUUGAUAUAGAAACUUCGUCCUACAGGAUUAAUGGUCAUAAAUCUUUAACUGGAGGGUUAAAGUUAAUUAUGUUUAUUAUGGGAAUGUGUUAGGUCUGGAAAGGAGCAGCUCUGCUAUAAACAGCUGAUGCUUGUAGAAAAACGGGGUGGAGUUGAUUUUGCAGAUUACUUACUUUUAUGAUACUUGUCCACCUUUGAAUGUGCCAUUUU
Molecule: signal recognition particle RNA, 314 nt
Filed under: Methanobrevibacter filiformis
Lineage: Archaea; Methanobacteriati; Methanobacteriota; Methanobacteria; Methanobacteriales; Methanobacteriaceae
Description: Archaeal signal recognition particle RNA
Rfam family: Archaeal signal recognition particle RNA
Source: Rfam by way of RNAcentral